This 1017-nucleotide ribosomal RNA is filed under the name uncultured organism. Its description in RNAcentral is "bacterial SSU rRNA". It matches the Rfam family "Bacterial small subunit ribosomal RNA", at positions 355 to 1375 of the family's 1533-position model. The record is from RNAcentral.
UGAGGAAUAUUGGUCAAUGGACGAGAGUCUGAACCAGCCAAGUAGCGUGAAGGAUGACUGCCCUAUGGGUUGUAAACUUCUUUUAUACGGGAAUAAAGUGAGGCACGUGUGCCUUUUUGUAUGUACCGUAUGAAUAAGGAUCGGCUAACUCCGUGCCAGCAGCCGCGGUAAUACGGAGGAUCCGAGCGUUAUCCGGAUUUAUUGGGUUUAAAGGGAGCGUAGGCGGACGCUUAAGUCAGUUGUGAAAGUUUGCGGCUCAACCGUAAAAUUGCAGUUGAUACUGGGUGUCUUGAGUACAGUAGAGGCAGGCGGAAUUCGUGGUGUAGCGGUGAAAUGCUUAGAUAUCACGAAGAACUCCGAUUGCGAAGGCAGCUUGCUGGACUGUAACUGACGCUGAUGCUCGAAAGUGUGGGUAUCAAACAGGAUUAGAUACCCUGGUAGUCCACACAGUAAACGAUGAAUACUCGCUGUUUGCGAUAUACAGUAAGCGGCCAAGCGAAAGCGUUAAGUAUUCCACCUGGGGAGUACGCCGGCAACGGUGAAACUCAAAGGAAUUGACGGGGGCCCGCACAAGCGGAGGAACAUGUGGUUUAAUUCGAUGAUACGCGAGGAACCUUACCCGGGCUUAAAUUGCAACUGACUGAACCGGAAACGGUUCUUUCUUCGGACAGUUGUGAAGGUGCUGCAUGGUUGUCGUCAGCUCGUGCCGUGAGGUGUCGGCUUAAGUGCCAUAACGAGCGCAACCCUUAUCGAUAGUUACUAGCAGGUCAUGCUGAGGACUCUAUUGAGACUGCCGUCGUAAGAUGUGAGGAAGGUGGGGAUGACGUCAAAUCAGCACGGCCCUUACGUCCGGGGCUACACACGUGUUACAAUGGGGGGUACAGAAGGCAGCUACACGGCGACGUGGUGCUAAUCCCGAAAGCCUCUCUCAGUUCGGAUUGGAGUCUGCAACCCGACUCCAUGAAGCUGGAUUCGCUAGUAAUCGCGCAUCAGCCACGGCGCGGUGAAUACGUUCCC